AUUGAACGCUGGCGGCAUGCUUUACACAUGCAAGUCGAACGGUAACAGGUCUUUCGGGAUGCUGACGAGUGGCGAACGGGUGAGUAAUGUAUCGGAACGUGCCCAGUAGUGGGGGAUAACUACUCGAAAGAGUGGCUAAUACCGCAUGAGAUCUCUGGAUGAAAGCGGGGGACCGUAAGGCCUCGCGCUACUGGAGCGGCCGAUAUCAGAUUAGGUUGUUGGUGAGGUAAAGGCUCACCAAGCCGACGAUCUGUAGCUGGUCUGAGAGGACGACCAGCCACACUGGGACUGAGACACGGCCCAGACUCCUACGGGAGGCAGCAGUAGGGAAUAUUGGACAAUGGGGGAACCCUGAUCCAGCCAUGCCGCGUGAGGGAAGAAGGUCCUCUGGAUUGUAAACCUCUUUUGGCAGGAAACAAACCUGCGCUAUACGCGCAGCUGAGGGUACCUGCAGAAUAAGCACCGGCUAACUCCGUGCCAGCAGCC
RNAcentral lists this ribosomal RNA (486 nucleotides) under uncultured bacterium. RNAcentral's name for it is "bacterial SSU rRNA". It matches the Rfam family "Bacterial small subunit ribosomal RNA", at positions 30 to 516 of the family's 1533-position model. The record is from RNAcentral.